GAUGAACGCUGGCGGCAUGCCUAAGACAUGCAAGUCGAACGGGGUGUACCAUUGAAAGUGGAGUGCUUGCACAAAACUGGAUUUGGAUUUGCACCUAGUGGCGCACGGGUGAGUAACACGUGGGUAACCUACCUAUUAGUCGGGGACAACAGUUGGAAACGACUGCUAAUACCGGAUGAUAUAUGAAACGGUAUCUUUUCAUAUUAAAAGGAGCUUUCAAGCUUCGCUUUUAGAUGGGCCUGCAGCGUAUUAGUUAGUUGGUGGGGUAACGGCCUACCAAGACGACGAUGCGUAGCCGAACUGAGAGGUUGAUCGGCCACAUUGGGACUGAGACACGGCCCAAACUCCUACGGGAGACAGCAGUUAGGAAUAUUCGUCAAUGGGGGAAACCCUGAACGAGCAAUGCCGCGUGAGUGAUGACGGUCCUCUGGAUUGUAAAACUCUGUUGAGAAGGAAGAAAAACUACAUUAGGAAAUGAUUGUAGCUUGACGGUACUUCUUUAGAAAGCUCCGGCUAACUACGUGCCAGCAGCCGCCGUAA
RNAcentral lists this ribosomal RNA (540 nucleotides) under uncultured bacterium. RNAcentral describes it as "partial 16S ribosomal RNA". It matches the Rfam family "Bacterial small subunit ribosomal RNA", at positions 28 to 523 of the family's 1533-position model. The record is from RNAcentral.